This 395-nucleotide unclassified non-coding RNA is filed under the name soil metagenome. Its description in RNAcentral is "partial contains 5.8S ribosomal RNA, internal transcribed spacer 2, and large subunit ribosomal RNA". The stretch from base 1 to 122 matches the Rfam family "5.8S ribosomal RNA", at positions 35 to 154 of the family's 154-position model. The record is from RNAcentral.
GAUGAAGAACGUAGCGAAAUGCGAUACUUGGUGUGAAUUGCAGAAUCCCGUGAACCAUCGAGUCUUUGAACGCAAGUUGCGCCCGAAGCCAUCAGGUUGAGGGCACGUCUGCCUGGGCGUCACAUAUCGUUGCCCAAUGCCUAUUGCAGUGCAAUAGGAAUUUCUAGGGCGAAUGAUGGCUUCCCGUGAGCGUUGUUGCCUCGCGGUUGGUUGAAAAUCGAGUCCUUGGUAGGGUGUGCCAUGGUAGAUGGUGGUCGAGAUAGAACGAUACCGAUCAUGUGCAUGCUCCCCAAAAUAUGGCCUCUAUGACCCACACGCGUCUUUUGACGCUCAUGACGAGCCCUCAGGUCAGGCGGGGCUACCCGCUGAAUUUAAGCAUAUCAAUAAGCGGAGGA